Molecule: long non-coding RNA, 482 nt
Organism: Gordionus sp. m RMFG-2023
Lineage: Eukaryota; Metazoa; Nematomorpha; Gordioida; Chordodea; Parachordodidae
Exons: 5
Source: RefSeq, a predicted model, not a curated record
GAAUCAAAUCAACAAUAAUGACUCAUGGUUAAACAUUUCAAACUCAAUUAUCAAAACAGCAAAUACCCAUCUUAAUAUUAAUUAUCAAUAUCUAUACAUAAUGUACAUAAAUACAAAUGUGUUAUUUUAAUUAUUUCUGCUAGCAAUAUAAUUAUACAUGAAUGGGUUUAAAUUUAAUCGUCAAUAUGUGUCAUUAAAUCAUCACAACACAAAUUCUCAUUAAAUAUUUUCUUUGUUAUUUUUUAUUUUUCAAUAUUAUUUUUUAGAUGUUACAAGAAAAGAUGACACAAUUAAAUCAGGACAGAAAAAAUUUCCUAGGUCAAGUGAAAAGUUUCAUUCUAGUACCAUAAAAGAUGAUGAUGAAAAUUUUCAAGAACCAGCUAUUAAAAAUCUAAAGCUUAAUGCGGAAGAAAAUCAUAUGAAGGUUAUGAAUAUACUAAAUUCGAUAGUUGGAGAGGAUUAUAAUUGUAUAAACAAAAAAG